UGGUCGGGAGGGCGUUGGCCAGCCGCUGUUCGUUCUCGUCGGACACCGACCACGCGGUCCUGGUCCGCCCCUGUCCGUC
Molecule: transfer RNA, 79 nt
Filed under: Asanoa siamensis
Lineage: Bacteria; Bacillati; Actinomycetota; Actinomycetes; Micromonosporales; Micromonosporaceae
Description: tRNA-Glu
Source: RNAcentral